GAGCCUGUAGCUCAGCCGGUAGAGCAUCUGACUUUUAAUCAGAGGGUCCCGGGUUCGAAUCCCGGCGGGCUCACCA
RNAcentral lists this transfer RNA (76 nucleotides) under Alphaproteobacteria bacterium. RNAcentral describes it as "tRNA-Lys". It matches the Rfam family "tRNA". Rfam says of the family: Transfer RNA (tRNA) molecules are approximately 80 nucleotides in length. Their secondary structure includes four short double-helical elements and three loops (D, anti-codon, and T loops). Further hydrogen bonds mediate the characteristic L-shaped molecular structure. tRNAs have two regions of fundamental functional importance: the anti-codon, which is responsible for specific mRNA codon recognition, and the 3' end, to which the tRNAs corresponding amino acid is attached (by aminoacyl-tRNA synthetases). tRNAs cope with the degeneracy of the genetic code in two manners: having more than one tRNA (with a specific anti-codon) for a particular amino acid; and 'wobble' base-pairing, i.e. permitting non-standard base-pairing at the 3rd anti-codon position. The record is from RNAcentral. Lineage: Bacteria; Pseudomonadati; Pseudomonadota; Alphaproteobacteria. RNAcentral also lists the same sequence under 6 other names.